RNAcentral lists this ribosomal RNA (311 nucleotides) under Bacillus pumilus. RNAcentral describes it as "bacterial SSU rRNA". It matches the Rfam family "Bacterial small subunit ribosomal RNA", at positions 51 to 352 of the family's 1533-position model. Lineage: Bacteria; Bacillati; Bacillota; Bacilli; Caryophanales; Bacillaceae. The record is from RNAcentral.
AUACAUGCAAGUCGAGCGGACAGAAGGGAGCUUGCUCCCGGAUGUUAGCGGCGGACGGGUGAGUAACACGUGGGUAACCUGCCUGUAAGACUGGGAUAACUCCGGGAAACCGGAGCUAAUACCGGAUAGUUCCUUGAACCGCAUGGUUCAAGGAUGAAAGACGGUUUCGGCUGUCACUUACAGAUGGAUCCGCGGCGCAUUAGCUAGUUGGUGGGGUAAUGGCUCACCAAGGGGAGGAUGCGUAUCCGACCUGAGAGGGUGAUCGGCCACACUGGGACUGAGACACGGCCCAUACUCCGAGGGGAGGCUGA